Molecule: ribosomal RNA, 119 nt
Filed under: Pteropus alecto (black flying fox)
Lineage: Eukaryota; Metazoa; Chordata; Mammalia; Chiroptera; Pteropodidae
Source: RNAcentral
GUCUACGGCCAUGCCACACUGAGCAAGCCCGAUCCCGUCUGAUCUCAGAAGCUAAGCAGGGUUGGGCCUGGUUAGUGCUUGGAUAGGAGACCACUUAGGAAGACCAGGUGCUAUAGGCA